Molecule: ribosomal RNA, 497 nt
Filed under: uncultured bacterium
Lineage: Bacteria
Description: partial 16S ribosomal RNA
Rfam family: Bacterial small subunit ribosomal RNA
Source: RNAcentral
GAUGAACGCUGGCGGCGUGCCUAAUACAUGCCAGUCGAGCGAACGGACGAGAAGCUUGCUUCUCUGAUGUUAGCGGCGGACGGGUGAGUAACACGUGGAUAACCUACCUAUAAGACUGGGAUAACUUCGGGAAACCGGAGCUAAUACCGGAUAAUAUUUUGAACCGCAUGGUUCAAAAGUGAAAGACGGUCUUGCUGUCACUUAUAGAUGGAUCCGCGCUGCAUUAGCUAGUUGGUAAGGUAACGGCUUACCAAGGCAACGAUGCAUAGCCGACCUGAGAGGGUGAUCGGCCACACUGGAACUGAGACACGGUCCAGACUCCUACGGGAGGCAGCAGUAGGGAAUCUUCCGCAAUGGGCGAAAGCCUGACGGAGCAACGCCGCGUGAGUGAUGAAGGUCUUCGGAUCGUAAAACUCUGUUAUUAGGGAAGUACAUAUGUGUAAGUAACUGUGCACAUCUUGACGGUACCUAAUCAGAAAGCCACGGCUAACUACGUG